Molecule: long non-coding RNA, 2568 nt
Organism: Panicum virgatum (switchgrass)
Lineage: Eukaryota; Viridiplantae; Streptophyta; Magnoliopsida; Poales; Poaceae
Exons: 4
Source: RefSeq, a predicted model, not a curated record
CCGUGACCCUCUCUGGUUCUCUUUUCUUUUUCCCCGUCGUCCCUUUCCCGUGCUCUUGGUUCUCUUCUUCCCCUUCCACUCCUCUCACUAGGGAUAGAAAUUUCCAUGGAUUCUUGAAGAUUUGGUAACGAAUUCGAAUGGGAAAGGAGACCCAAUCCUCCUUGGGCCCUCAGGGCGUUUGAUUUGAUUUGAUUCAUGUCUUGUGUCUCUUGAUUUUUGUUGGAUUCGUUUAGUUCCUCGUCUUAUUUUUUGGUCUGUUCGCUCGCAGAUUUUUGGAGGGGAUUGUUCCCUGGCUGCGCGGCGCACGGGGCGUUCCUGCGCAGCCCAAGGCGGCGCCCGCGCAAGGGCCUGCUCUCGCCUCGACGGCGCAGAGAGACGUGGCAGGCCGGUGACAGCACCAGGGAGGAGCUGCAGCGCUCGGUCGAGCAGUGCCAGGCUCGCGUGCGCAAGGGCAGGCGGCUCAAGCUGCAGACCAAGCAGCAGCGGCGCACACACCUGCCAAGCGAGUGGGGCAUGCAGUAUGCAACCCACGGCAGCAGCUAGAGCGGCACAAGUGAAUUAGUGCAGGGUCUUUGUGAUUUUGAUUAGAGGGCACGUGCAUGUGGAUGCUUGGAUGUUGGUUGUUUUGCAGGUAUUUAGAAUUUGUGUGAGUGCGUGUGAAAUCCAAGGAUGGAACACCUGUGGUUUGCUGCAAGCCUCGUCAACAUCCAUCAAGUGUUUGUAGAUAUGCCGCUCAAGGAUUUCUUCUCCUAUUUACUUCCUGCUAAGUAGCUUGUGUUAAUUAGUUUAGUUCUUGCUAAUCUUUGUUAGUCACUUGUUGAGUUAGCUUUUGUGUAAAUUAGUUUCAGCUCUUUUAUCUGUUCUUCUUAGCAUGCUAAUUUAGCUAGUUUUAACUAGCUUUUGUUAGGGCUAGUUUAAAAAGAAAAGCAAAACAAAAUUUAGUUAAAUUGUGCUUGUGUUAGCUAGUUUUAAUUUCAGUUUUUCUAGUUCUUUCUUUUACUUGUGUACUAACUCUUGUUGCUAGAGUUCUUGAGAUGACUUCUUUUCAAUAGUAUUGUUCCUAGCUUCUUUCGUGCGCUUGUGCGUGUGUGCGUCAGUGUAAGCUUUUCACUGUCAGUGUAAGCUUUUCACUGCUUUGCUUCCGCGUGUGUGUUUCGGCUUCAGUGUGUGAGUAUUCCUAGCGCAGAUAGCCAUCCUGAGCUAUGCGGUACUGAUACUGUUUGAGGUGGUUCGGGUGCUUUAGGAACUUUUUUCCCUCCGGUUUUUCUAAAUCGGAUUUGAGGCUCCCAUCCAAGCCCCCCCUCUGGUCGCCUGUUCGGUCCUACAAAGUCAAUUGGGGUUGAUGAAAUUCAAGACUUGGAUGAUGCUCCUAUAAAAUUUGUGUACGGAAAAGACUUGCUACCGGGUUGGGCACUAACAGAUUGUCCUCUUUUAUGCAAAGGUUUAAUAAUUGGUACAAGAGGGCAUGAAGACUUGGACUCAGAACCAUAUGUGCUCUGCACCAUCUGGAUGUAUUCGGAACUAAGGGGCCUGAAAUCUUUGAUAUCACGUUCGAUUUUGAAGACAUCCAGCACAUGUUCUACCUCAAAAAACUUGGUAUUGAAAUGGUUCGACUCUGGUGCAUGAUGCAAACAUUUGAUUCUAUUGUUUUAAACAAGAAGAUCCGAUAUCUUGACCCCGCAGCGAUUUGCGAGGCCAAGCACACAUCGCCAAAAUGGAUGAAGGAUGAUGAUGACUACCUAAAGUCAUUUGAAACAAAAAGGCAAAACAAGAGGAACAAAAAAGAUUUCAUCAAGAGACCUUCACAAAUGUUGCGGCCUACAUAUGAUGAUAUGAUGGGAAGACAUGGAUGUCAUAUUUGCGUCAUACCACAUCUAAAAUCACUAGAUUGCGUUCCAUAUACAACCAAAGCUCUGAAUAAUUCUCGUAUUGGACUCGUUGGAUUGGUCAACCAUGAGAUACCAAGAAUUCUUAGAUAUUCUAUAAUUGGCUUAUAAGUACUACAUUCGUAAAGUUGGAGCUCGUUCCGCUGACAAACCAAAUGAAAUGACUCUGCGCACAAGGUUCCCGUGCCACAAGCAACCUGCAUGCUCUGUGUACUGGGUACUAUAUGUGCGAGCAUCUAAGGCUGCAAGGGAGAUAUACUACGGACCCCAAACGUGCAAGGGGCUACUCUCUUUGUUACUUAUAUAUUCAUAUGUCUACUCUAUUUUUUACUGUAACCAACACUUGCUUAAUUUUACAAUUAAUUCAUUAACUGCAGAUUCAAUCUGUGCACCACAAUGAGCAGCUCCACGAGAAACAACUUUUAAAUAUAGUUGCUGAUUUGUGCCGUUUCAUUUUGCAUGAAGUGGUCAACGUGAGGGGCAAUUUUUUUCACGAAGCACAAGAUUUGGCAACGGAUGAGAAAUACAUUGGGCUUCGUGAAUGGCACAACCAACGGCACCGUGCUGCCACUAGUAGCGGUCCUAGGAAGGAUUAGGGAACAAUAUUUAUUCAAUAUACACUUUAAUGAUGUAUUGUAAUGAUGUUUGCUUUUCAUUUAAUUUAAUUUUGUAUGUGUAACAA